GGAAUCUUGGGAAUGGGCGAAAGCCUGACCCAGCAACGCCGCGUGGGCGAUGAAGGCCUUAGGGUCGUAAAGCCCUUUUGUGGGGGACGAUGAUGACGGUCCCCCACGAAUAAGCCACGGCUCACUACGUGCCAGCAGCCGCGGUAAUACGUAGGUGGCGAGCGUUGUCCGGAUUUACUGGGCGUAAAGGGCGCGCAGGCGGUCUGUAUUAGUCUAGGGUGAAAGCUCCCGGCUUAACUGGGAGAGGUCCUUGGAUACUGGCAGACUCGAGGGAGGCAGAGGAAAGUGGAAUUCCCGGUGUAGUGGUGAUAUGCGUAGAUAUCGGGAGGAACACCAGUGGCGAAGGCGGCUUUCUGGGCCUUACCUGACGCUGAGGCGCGAAAGCGUGGGGAGCGAAC
RNAcentral lists this ribosomal RNA (398 nucleotides) under uncultured bacterium. RNAcentral's name for it is "bacterial SSU rRNA". It matches the Rfam family "Bacterial small subunit ribosomal RNA", at positions 358 to 773 of the family's 1533-position model. The record is from RNAcentral.